RNAcentral lists this ribosomal RNA (619 nucleotides) under uncultured Basidiomycota. RNAcentral's name for it is "eukaryotic LSU rRNA". The stretch from base 215 to 369 matches the Rfam family "5.8S ribosomal RNA". The record is from RNAcentral. Lineage: Eukaryota; Fungi; Basidiomycota.
CAUUACUGAAUUGUUAACAUGAGUUGCUGCUGGUCCUCAAAUGGGGGCAUGUGCACACUCUGUUUACAUAUCCACUCACACCUGUGCACCCUCCGUAGUUCUGCAGCCUGGGGGCUCUGUCCCCUUGCCGCGGUUCUAUGUGUUUACACACACACACACACACACUGUAAUAAAGUCUCAUGGAAUGUAUGCCGCGUAUAACGCAAUGUAAUACAACUUUCAGCAACGGAUCUCUUGGCUCUCGCAUCGAUGAAGAACGCAGCGAAAUGCGAUAAGUAAUGUGAAUUGCAGAAUUCAGUGAAUCAUCGAAUCUUUGAACGCACCUUGCGCCCUUUGGCCAUUCCGAAGGGCAUGCCUGUUUGAGUAUCAUGAACACCUCAACUCUCAUGGCUUGCCAUGAUGAGCUUGGACGUUGGAGGUCUUGCUGGCCUAUAGUCGGCUCCUCUCAAAUGGAUCAGCUUGCCAGUGUUUGGUGGGAUCACAGGUGUGAUAACUAUCUACGCUUGUGGUUUCUGCUGGGCAACCUUCGGUGACGGAGGUUCACUGGGGCUUAUAAAUGUCUCUCCUUGGUGAGGGACAGCUCUUUGAACGUUUGAUCUCAAAUCAGGUAGGACUACCC